GGGCUGUGGUCAGAGCAGGGGCCCUGCAGGCCAGUUCCUCUGUUUAAACACAGCCGAUAGCAAUCCGGGGUCCUUGUGAGGAGAGCCACAGAAUGUGCGGCCUUGCUCCAAACAAACACCCAACAAGU
Molecule: small nucleolar RNA, 128 nt
Organism: Ochotona princeps (American pika)
Lineage: Eukaryota; Metazoa; Chordata; Mammalia; Lagomorpha; Ochotonidae
Source: Ensembl